RNAcentral lists this ribosomal RNA (253 nucleotides) under uncultured bacterium. RNAcentral's name for it is "partial 16S ribosomal RNA". It matches the Rfam family "Bacterial small subunit ribosomal RNA", at positions 524 to 776 of the family's 1533-position model. The record is from RNAcentral.
UACGUAGGGUGCGAGCGUUAAUCGGAAUUACUGGGCGUAAAGUGUGCGCAGGCGGCAGAGCAAGUCGAGUGUGAAAGCCCCGGGCUUAACUUGGGAAUUGCGCUCGAAACUACUUUGCUGGAGUGUGGCAGAGGAAGGUGGAAUUCCACGUGUAGCGGUGAAAUGCGUAGAGAUGUGGAGGAACACCAAUGGCGAAGGCAGCCUUCUGGGCCAACACUGACGCUCAUGCACGAAACCGUGGGGAGCAAACAGG